GAUGAACGCUGGCGGCGUGCCUAAUACAUGCAAGUCGAGCGAACAGACGAGGAGCUUGCUCCUCUGACGUUAGCGGCGGACGGGUGAGUAACACGUGGAUAACCUACCUAUAAGACUGGGAUAACUUCGGGAAACCGGAGCUAAUACCGGAUAACAUGUUGAACCGCAUGGUUCAACAGUGAAAGACGGUCUUGCUGUCACUUAUAGAUGGAUCCGCGCCGCAUUAGCUAGUUGGUAAGGUAACGGCUUACCAAGUCAACGAUGCGUAGCCGACCUGAGAGGGUGAUCGGCCACACUGGAACUGAGACACGGUCCAGACUCCUACGGGAGGCAGCAGUAGGGAAUCUUCCGCAAUGGGCGAAAGCCUGACGGAGCAACGCCGCGUGAGUGAAGAAGGUCUUCGGAUCGUAAAACUCUGUUAUUAGGGAAGAACAAAUGUGUAAGUAACUAUGCACGUCUUGACGGUACCUAAUCAGAAAGCCACGGCUAACUACGUG
RNAcentral lists this ribosomal RNA (497 nucleotides) under uncultured bacterium. RNAcentral's name for it is "partial 16S ribosomal RNA". It matches the Rfam family "Bacterial small subunit ribosomal RNA", at positions 28 to 507 of the family's 1533-position model. The record is from RNAcentral.